CUCUUCCCCAGCCACUGGUGCGAGCGAAGCAAAUUGAAGGCUUCCCUUCCACCAAACCUAUAAAAUCUUCCCUCGCCUUCUCACUCUGGCGACGAGGGCGAUGAGUGGUGGCGGGUUAUUGCGCACCGCCUGCCAUCCUCCUCUCUCCGGUUUUCUAUCCCUCCGUUUCUUCCACCCUCGCCGCCGCCGCCGCCUUUCCGCUCUCUGCGGAAGACACCGUAACCUAGGCCUUGCUUCUUCUUUACCUUCCCUAGGGUUCCGAUUGGAUCGGUAUGGCUUCAGUGAACGGAGCUGCUACGUUCACAGCCUCGUCGAGUCCGUCAUGGAGGAAUUGGCCGUCAUCCGCGCCACCCGGCGGAUUCGGGCGACCGCCAAAGUGGGAUUACCAAGCAGUAAAGAAUUAUUUGAUGCUAAAUUGGAAAAGAAAACCUUGCAGAAAGGAUUGUUGCUUGAGUUUAGGAAAGAUUCUCAAAAGACAUUGCUAGCAGUUGUCCAAAAGCCUGAUGGGAAGAAAAAUUGGAUGGUUUGCGAUCAGAAUGGAGUGAUUUGCUCAAUAAAGCCCCAACAAGUCACAUACGUGGUACCUGGUAUUGAAGACUUUGACCACACAGAUAUCUCUGAAUUUGUUCAGAAAGCUCAGGGUCUCUUAGAUCCAUCCAUUCUGGAGUGUGCUUGGAUAGAGCUUUCAGAAAAUAAAAGGACAGUGACAGCUGAGGAAUUAGCUGAGAUUAUAUAUGGCAGCCAGGAAUCUCUUGAAAGCUACUGUUCCCAUCUCUUGUUGUCAAGAGAUGACAUAUAUUUUAAUGUGGUUGAGAGCAAGGGAUAUUGUUCUCUAUAUGAACCACGUCCUAGCAUUCAGGUGGAGGAACUCUUAAAAAGGAAGCUUGUCAAAGAGUCUUCAGAGAAGGAACUUGAAGAGUUUGUGCACUUACUAUUGUCUGCAAAAGCUAUGCCUUCACGGUCUAAACCUUCCAAAAGCUCAUGGAUGACAGAAGAUAAAGUUAAAAGGAGAAUUGAAUCUCUUGAGGCUUAUGCUUUAGAUGCGUGCAAAAAUGAUGAACAACGAAAAACUGCUGGAAGUAUACUCAAGGCAAUGGGAUUAAUGAAGACAUCAUCUGCUGCAGUUAACCUCCUCAUAGAUAUUGGAUACUUCCCUGUGCAUGUCAAUCUUGACCUCUUUAAGUUCAAUAUCCACACUGAAUACAGCGAAGAAGUUCUGUCAGCCGCCGAAAACCUUCUAGCUGUUUCCAAUGAUCUUGAUGAGGGAAACAGGAAAGAUCUUACAUUUUUGAAAGUGUAUGCCAUUGACGUGGAUGAUGCUGAUGAGCUCGAUGAUGCAUUAAGCGCUACAAGGCUACCAGAUGGAAGGAUAAAACUCUGGAUCCAUGUUGCUGAUCCCACUUGUUUGGUUGCACCUCACAGCAUACUUGACCGGGAAGCAAUGAGGAGAGGAACCUCCAUAUUCUUGCCUACUGCUACCUAUCCAAUGUUCCCAGAGAAGCUUGCAAUGGAGGGUAUGAGCUUGCAGCAAGGAAAACUAUGCAGGGCUGUCAGUGUAUCUGUAACAUUAUCCCAAGAUGGAAGCAUUGCAGAUCUUGCAAUAGAGAACUCAAUCAUUAGACCUACCUAUAUGUUGACAUAUGAGAACGCAACCGAGUUACUUCAUCUGAAUCUAGAAGAGGAGGGUGAGCUCAGGAUUCUUUCAGAGGCUGCCUUGCUCAGGUUUCAGUGGCGUUGUGACCAGGGUGCGAUAGACACAGCGACAAUAGACCCACGAAUCAAGGUGGCAAAGCCUGAUGAUCCUGAACCAUCUAUAACUCUGUAUGUUGAAGAUCAAUCAAAUCCCGCUAUGCGUCUUGUAUCCGAGAUGAUGAUACUCUGUGGGGAAGUUAUAGCCACAUUUGGUUCCUGCAACAACAUUUCGUUGCCUUACAGAGGCCAGCCCCAAUCAAACAUCUCGGCAUCAGCAUUUUCUCAUCUCCCUGAAGGACCUGCUAGAAGUGCUGCUUACCUAAAAAUUAUGCGUGCCGCAGAAAUGAACUUUAGGAAACCUAUACGCCAUGGAGUAUUGGGACUCCCUGGUUAUGUGCAGUUUACAUCUCCAAUCCGUAGAUAUAUUGAUCUUCUAGCUCACUAUCAGGUGAAGGCUUUUAUUAGAGGAGAAUCUCUACCAUUUUCAGCUGGUGAAUUGGAGGGAAUGGCAUGUCUUGUUAACAUGCAUGUAAGAGUAGCUAAGAGACUUCAAAGUAACAGCUUAAGAUAUUGGUUACUGGAGUAUUUGAGACGACAAGAAAGAGAAAGGAAGUUUUCUGCAAUGAUCCUUAGGCUCAUUAAAGAUCGGACAGCAGCCUUGCUUUUGAUGGAGGUCGGGGUUCAGGCUAUCGCGAUUGUUUCAGACGGGAAAAAGGUUGGUGAUGAGAUAAAAGUUACCAUAGAUGAAGCUCAUCCACGUGAUGAUGUGCUUUCAGUAAGGGAAGUUUAAAGAGGUAAGUCAGGUCCUGCACUGCCAUUUGCCCAUUGACAGACAUACUGAUAUAGGAGAUUCAAAAUUUGAUGUACUUGUUUUGACCAACCAGCAUCGCUGAGCGAUCAAACAGAAGCACCCCCAUGACAAACCUGCAUCUACUCAGUGACAGAUAUGCUUUGCUUACAGAAGGAUCCCCGCUAUAUGAUCGAUACAGUAUUAGUUUAUGGAUUCUAUGUUGUCUUGUACCGCUGCUCGUUUGACCCAAAAUGUGACAACACUGCGUGUGUCGGACACGAGUGGGCACCCGGCAACCAGAGGAGUCCCUCGUUUCGAGGGAAGUUUUGCAUGUGGGUCGGGACAUCUGUACCGUGCUUGGAGAAAGUUUUAUGUAACGCGUGUUCAUUUUGGCCUAUGUAUACUUGUAUAUUUAUAUAUCUGUGAUGAUUAAACACAAGAGUUUGCCUC
Musa acuminata AAA Group (dessert banana) is the source of this 2932-nucleotide RNA transcript. It is a transcript of the gene named ribonuclease II, chloroplastic/mitochondrial-like, with no coding region annotated. NCBI's taxonomy places the organism in Eukaryota, Viridiplantae, Streptophyta, Magnoliopsida, Zingiberales, Musaceae. The record is from RefSeq and is a predicted model, not a curated record. The transcript has 15 exons.